This 373-nucleotide ribosomal RNA is filed under the name uncultured bacterium. RNAcentral's name for it is "bacterial SSU rRNA". It matches the Rfam family "Bacterial small subunit ribosomal RNA", at positions 525 to 896 of the family's 1533-position model. The record is from RNAcentral.
ACGUAGGAGGCGAGCGUUAUCCGGAUUUACUGGGUGUAAAGCGCGUGCAGGCGGUUUGCUAAGUUGGGUGUGAAGGCUCCUGGCUCAACUGGGAGAGGUCGCUCAAGACUGGCAGACUAGAGAGUGGUAGGGGAAGGUGGAAUUCCGGGUGUAGUGGUGAAAUGCGUAGAUAUCCGGAGGAACACCAGUGGCGAAGGCGGCCUUCUAGGCCACUUCUGACGCUCAGACGCGAAAGCUAGGGUAGCAAACGGGAUUAGAGACCCCGGUAGUCCUAGCCGUAAACGAUGUGAACUUGGCGCUGAGUGGGUAAAACCAAGCAGUGCCGAAGCAAACGCGAUAAGUUCACCACCUGGGGACUACGGCCGCAAGGUUA